Gigantopelta aegis is the source of this 538-nucleotide long non-coding RNA. RefSeq lists it as uncharacterized. NCBI's taxonomy places the organism in Eukaryota, Metazoa, Mollusca, Gastropoda, Neomphalida, Peltospiridae. The transcript is spliced from 3 exons. The record is from RefSeq and is a predicted model, not a curated record.
GGCAGUUUGAGACGGACACUGGUCAGUGCUGUGAUUGUCCACCAGGUCUUGCUGGACCUCACUGUGAAGAUUGUGAUCCGUCAGAAGUUGUGUGCUAUAACAAUGGUACCCUGAUAUUACGACUGCAGGAUGGUAACUGUCAAUGUCAGUGUACCCGUGAAUACACUGGAGCCCGUUGUCAACAGACAACUGAAACUGGAAAUUAUACAGAUUUUGAUGCCACGGAAUUCCCAAAAUUGGAACGGUGUGUUACCGACCCUGUUGAUAUCACUUUGAUUGUAGAUGGGAACAUUCUAAAGGACUCAACACCAAACAAGAAUGAAAUUGUGCGCUCAAUAGAGAACCUAUUAUCUUACUUUGGCAAUGACCGAGUUGGGUUUUUAACCUUUCAUACUAACAAGGUUAUACAAAUCAAUAACAAAAUAUACACUACUGACUUAGCGUUCACUCAAUCUUUAUAUAGGGUGAACAUUGAAAGUGGCAAUGUCACCUUAGCAGAUGCUCUAGGUGAAACCCAAACAACACAAAUGACACUGAC